UUGAAAUUAAGGUUGAAGCAGCAAAAGUAAAUCAACAGCAACAAAAUUCGACCACAACUUCAAGUGCAAACCAUUUCCAAUUCCAGAAUUUGAGAUAAAACAGAAACAAAAAUCAACCCCAAUCUAGCUGAAACUACAACAUCUUAAACCAAGCUUUACAAAUCCAAAUUAAAACCACUUCCAUAUCAAUUGAUACAAAACUUGUUUCCAAGACUUAACAAAUCACAAAAUAUUCAAACGAAAUGCAAAGGAACAAUAAGAUCAUUUAAUAUUUCUGAUACUAAGAACUUAUAUGGAGCCUAGUAAAAUAGCUACUUUGUCCUAUAUUUUUCUAGCCUCC
Molecule: long non-coding RNA, 340 nt
Filed under: Nicotiana benthamiana
Lineage: Eukaryota; Viridiplantae; Streptophyta; Magnoliopsida; Solanales; Solanaceae
Description: long non-coding RNA (NBEN_LNC016630)
Source: RNAcentral